RNAcentral lists this ribosomal RNA (1057 nucleotides) under Capnocytophaga canimorsus. RNAcentral describes it as "bacterial SSU rRNA". It matches the Rfam family "Bacterial small subunit ribosomal RNA", at positions 1 to 1059 of the family's 1533-position model. Lineage: Bacteria; Pseudomonadati; Bacteroidota; Flavobacteriia; Flavobacteriales; Flavobacteriaceae. The record is from RNAcentral.
GGGCCCNCCNCUAGAGUUUGAUCCUGGCUCAGGAUGAACGCUAGCGGCAGGCCUAACACAUGCAAGUCGAGGGGUAGAGUGCUUUGGCACUUGAGACCGGCGCACGGGUGCGUAACACGUGUACAAUCUACCUUUUGCUAAGGGAUAGCCCGAAGAAAUUUGGAUUAAUACCUUAUAGUAUUGUUUGGUGGCAUCACUGAAUAAUUAAAGCUCUGGUGGCAAAAGAUGAGUACGCGUCCCAUUAGCUAGUUGGUGUGGUAACGGCAUACCAAGGCUACGAUGGGUAGGGGUCCUGAGAGGGAGGUCCCCCNCACUGGUACUGAGACACGGACCAGACUCCUACGGGAGGCAGCAGUGAGGAAUAUUGGACAAUGGUCGGAAGACUGAUCCAGCCAUGCCGCGUGCAGGAUGACGGCCUUAUGGGUUGUAAACUGCUUUUAUACAGGAAGAAUAAGGUCUACGAGUAGAUUGAUGACGGUACUGUAUGAAUAAGCAUCGGCUAACUCCGUGCCAGCAGCCGCGGUAAUACGGAGGAUGCGAGCGUUAUCCGGAAUCAUUGGGUUUAAAGGGUCCGUAGGCGGGCUUAUAAGUCAGAGGUGAAAGCACUGAGCUCAACUGAGUAACUGCCUUUGAAACUGUAGGUCUUNAAUGUUUGUGAAGUAGCUGGAAUGUGUAGUGUAGCGGUGAAAUGCAUAGAUAUUACACAGAACACCGAUUGCGAAGGCAUGUUACUAACAAAUUAUUGACGCUGAUGGACGAAAGCGUGGGGAGCGAACAGGAUNAGAUACCCUGGUAGUCCACNGCUGUAAACGAUGGAUACUAGCUGUUUGGGAGUAAUUUUGAGUGGCUAAGCGAAAGUGAUAAGUAUCCCACCUGGGGAGUACGCACGCAAGUGUGAAACUCAAAGGAAUUGACGGGGGCCCGCACAAGCGGUGGAGCAUGUGGUUUAAUUCGAUGAUACGCGAGGAACCUUACCAAGGUUUAAAUGGGAAACGACGUAUCUAGAGAUAGAUAUUUCUUCGGACGUUUUUCAAGGUGCUGCAGNGUUGUCGUCAGC